ACUAAGCUGGUCAGUGACAGAGUCUGGGGUUUACUCUUUCUACCACACCUGUCACCAUAAUUCUCAGGUAUGAGCAGCUACUUCGUGUUAAGGUUUCUAUUCCCAUCAGUCCUCUGGACUCAACGUGAUAAGCACAUGUUACUCUGCUUCCCACAGGUGUGUUGUGAGGCUCCCCAGAAACUUCAGUCCCUCCUCUCUCCUGGUGCAGGCAGAACUACAGACAGCUGAAUUUCUUUAUCAUUACCUUAGAUACAAUAAAAAUUCCCAAAGGGAAUUUUCUUCCUGACGUGGAGUUGGCAGCCUUUAUUCAUAAGGGAUGCAUUGGAAUGUUCUGUUUUGGAAUGUCAUCUCAAUUCCAGUUUGGGAUUUUCUGGUCAGCACCAAUGAAGUAAUCUGCCAAGUAGACCCUUUUUCAUUCCCCAAAGGAAGAUGAGUUCAAAUCUCAGCUCUGGUGAAAACUCUUGAGGAAGCUAUUUAACCUCAGUUUUCUCAUCUAUAAAAUGGGCUAGGGACUUCCCCCAUGGCUCAGUGGUUAAGGAUCUGUCUGCC
Non-coding RNA from Delphinapterus leucas (beluga whale), 549 nucleotides. Lineage: Eukaryota; Metazoa; Chordata; Mammalia; Artiodactyla; Monodontidae. The record is from RefSeq and is a predicted model, not a curated record.